This 251-nucleotide long non-coding RNA is filed under the name Equus caballus (horse). RNAcentral describes it as "lncRNA (ENSECAG00000059008.1)". Lineage: Eukaryota; Metazoa; Chordata; Mammalia; Perissodactyla; Equidae. The record is from RNAcentral.
AGUGACUUCACCUCUCCACGUCUCAGUUUGCUCGCAGGAGUAGGGUGGGCUGAGGUGGAAGACGGAGCCCAGCGCCAGGGAAACUUCUGGGCAGGGAGAGCUGGUGCAAGUCCGGGGCGGCCAUCUGGGACCCAAACUGCGGCAGCACCAUGGACAGCAGACAGGGCCCCAGGUCCGGAGCCCGUUUUCACAGCAGGGGCUGUGGAGCUGCCCGGCUAGGCCGAGACCUCCAUGUCUGCGUGCAUCCCAGC